Camelus dromedarius (Arabian camel) is the source of this 637-nucleotide long non-coding RNA. RefSeq lists it as uncharacterized. NCBI's taxonomy places the organism in Eukaryota, Metazoa, Chordata, Mammalia, Artiodactyla, Camelidae. The transcript has 3 exons. The record is from RefSeq and is a predicted model, not a curated record.
CUUCGCUCUGUUCAGCCCGGCGAGUUCCAGGAAGCCCCAAAGUUAGAGUCAGAGUCCAAAAUUCAAUAGUCUAGAUCCUGAGGAAGGAAUACAGACAAUAGCCAUGUAGUCCUCCAGAUAAGUGACUAUUCACAAACUGAGAUCCUCCUCUGCUCCCAGCAUGGACAAAGGGGCCAGGGUGCCUGGAAGAGGGUCAUAAACAGCUCGGGCAGCACUGGAAGGAAACAGGCAGGAUGGCUCCAUCUGAGGGGAAAGAGGGCCUUUGUGAGACUGGCAUUUACAGACUGUUCUCGGCAUUGGGUGAAGAAACAGCUCCAGUGGGCCCGGGAGGGGAGAUUCUGGGUGUCCAGCUCCAGGCAUAAUGAGAAAAACAGGCAUGAACAGAAUCAUCUUUAAAUGACACCUUUCUCUGAGUUACUUCGGGAUCAAAAAUCAGACAAGACUAAGGAACAGUAAACACUUCCCUGCAACAGAUAAAGAAACUAAGAGAGAAAUCAGGUAACUGAGUUCAGUGACACAGUGAGUCAGUCAUGCCUCUGGCCGCCUGGCUUCUUGUAGCCGGGCCUGUAAUGUAGUUGUUGAUUUUCACCUUGUAAAUUUACCACUAAACUAUGUAAAAAUGGCCAUUCCCCGCUGU